GACGAACGCUGGCGGCGUGCUUAACACAUGCAAGUCGAACGGAAAGGCCCUGCUUUUGUGGGGUGCUCGAGUGGCGAACGGGUGAGUAACACGUGAGUAACCUGCCCUUGACUUUGGGAUAACUUCAGGAAACUGGGGCUAAUACCGGAUAGGAGCUCCUGCUGCAUGGUGGGGGUUGGAAAGUUUCGGCGGUUGGGGAUGGACGCGCGGCUUAUCAGCUGUUUGGUGGGGUAGUGGCUUACCAAGGCUCUGACGGGUAGCCCGCCUGAGAGGGUGACCGGCCACAUUGGGACUGAGAUACGGCCCAGAGUCCUACGGGAGGCAGCAGUGGAGAAUAUUGCACGAUGGGCGGAAGCCUGAUGCAGCAACGCCGCGUGCGGGAUGACGGCCUUCGGGUUGUAAACCGCUUUCGCCUGUGACGAAGCGUGAGUGACGGUAAUGGGUAAAGAAGCACCGGCUAACUACGUG
Molecule: ribosomal RNA, 468 nt
Filed under: uncultured bacterium
Lineage: Bacteria
Description: partial 16S ribosomal RNA
Rfam family: Bacterial small subunit ribosomal RNA
Source: RNAcentral